Long non-coding RNA from Gopherus flavomarginatus (Mexican gopher tortoise), 1845 nucleotides. RefSeq lists it as uncharacterized. The transcript has 5 exons. NCBI's taxonomy places the organism in Eukaryota, Metazoa, Chordata, Testudines, Testudinidae. The record is from RefSeq and is a predicted model, not a curated record.
UGUGACCCUAGGGCAGGGGACUGGCUGGCUCAGGGGGGCAGGGAAUGGGACAUGGGGCCUUUCCCCUCUAGGGGGCGCUGGCUCUGAUAUGACCCCCAGGGCAGGGGACUGGCUGGCUUGGGGGCAGGGAAUGGGAUAUGGGACUUUCCCCUCUAGGGGGCACCACUUUUGAUCUCUCUUUGUCUGAUGCUAGCUUUCAGCACAGUUCAGGCAGAGAGGAGGGAAUUCUCCAGGUUGGCGUUUGGCCAGGAUGGACACCGGGGUUCACACCCCAACCUGCCAGAGGCUCCUUAGCUACACGUGUAUUCAGGCCUGGGUGUGAGACGUGACCCGAAGGACAGAGGGGGAGGAGCAAGGGGGGGUGUCUGAGGAGUUGGGCCUGGGCUGGGCUUAUGCUUCUGACUCCUUGGGAACUGUACCCCACCAGAAGUUACUGCUGCCUGACAGAUGGACAGCGGGCUGUAUGGGGCUGGGUAGAUAGAGGGGGUGAAAGGGGAUAGACAGAUGGAUACCAGCCAUGUGUGAGGAUAGACAGAGCACUGUGUAUGGGGCUGAGUAGAUGCAGAGAAGGGGUGUUUGAGGCUACAGAGGGAGUUUAUGGGGCUGGCUGGAUAGAGGGGUGUGUAUGGGAUGAAUGGGUAGGUGCACCUGGGGAUAGAUGAAUGGAUAGAGGGGAUGGAUGGAUAAAGGGAUGUGUAUGCAGAUGGAUGGGUGGACAGAGGAGUGUGUAUGGGGCUGGAUGGACAGACCGAGGGGUAUGUAUGGGGCUGGGUGGAUAGAGGGAUGUGCACGGGGCUCGCUGGCUGGCUGGCUGGAGGGAGGGGUGUGCAUGGGGCUGGAUGGACAGAGGGGUGUGUUUGGGGCUGGGUGGAUAGAGGGGUGUGCAUGGGGCUGGAUGGACAGACCGAGGGGUAUGUAUGGGGCUGGGUGGAUAGAGGGAUGUGCAUGGGGCUCGCUGGCUGGCUGGCUGGAGGGAAGGGUGUGCAUGGGGCUGGAUGGACAGAGGGGUGUGUAUGGGGCUGAGUGGAUAGAGGGGUGUGCAUGGGGCCGGAUGGAUGGAUGGGGAGGUGUGUAUGAGGGAUGGAUGGAUGGAUGGAUGGAUAGAGUGGUGUGCAUGAGGCUGUAUGGACAGACAGAGGGUGUCUAUGGGGCUGGCUGGCUGGAUCGAGGAGCUGGAUGGACAGAGGGUGUGUAUGGGGCUGGCUGGCUGGAUCGAGAGGCUGGAUGGACAGACAGAGGGGUGUGUAUGGGACUGGCUGGCUGACUGGAUCGAGGGGAUGGAUGGUCAGACAGAGGGGUGUAUAUGGGGCUGGCUGGAGCGGUGUGCAUGGGGCUGGAUGGACAAACAGGGGAGUGUGCAUGGGGCUGGAUGGACAGACAGGGGGGUGUGUAUGGGGCUGGAAGGACAGACAGAGGAGUGUGCAUGGGGCUGGAUGGACAGACGGAGGGGUGUGUAUGGGGCUGGCUGGACAAACAGAGGGGUGUGCAUGGGGCUGGACGGACAGACAGAGGGGUGUGUAUGGGUCUGGCUGGCUGGCUGAAGGGGCUGGAUGGACAGACAGAGGGGUGUGUAUAGGGCUGGAUGGACAGACAGAGCAGUGUGCAUAGGGCUGGAUGGGCAGACAGAGGGGUGUGCAUGGGGCUGGAUGGACAGACAGGGGUAUGCAUGGGGCUGGAUGGACAGACAGAGGGAUGUAUAUGGGGCUGGAUGGAUAGACAGAGGGGUGGGCCUGGGGCUGGAUGGACAGACAGAACGGUGUGCAUAGGGCUGGAUGGGCAGACAGAGGGUAUGCAUGGGGCUGGCUGGACAGAGGGGUGUGUAUGGAGCUGGAUGGACAGACAGAG